UUGGAGGGCAAGUCUGGUGCCAGCAGCCGCGGUAAUUCCAGCUCCAAUAGCGUAUAUUAAAGUUGUUGCAGUUAAGAAGCUCGUAGUUGAAUUUCGGGAUCAAAUAAUCGGUCGUGCCUCCGGUACGUACUGGUUUUAUUGGUUCCUCCCUUCUGACGAACCGUGAUGUCAUUAAUUUGAUGUGGUGGAGAAUCAGGACUGUUACCUUGAAAAAAUUAGAGUGUUUAAAGCAGGCUAACGCUUGAAUACAUUAGCAUGGAAUAAUGAAAUAGGACGUUCGACCCUAUUUUGUUGGUUUCUAGGAUCGACGUAAUGAUUAAUAGGGAUAGUUGGGGGCAUUAGUAUUCAAUUGUCAGAGGUGAAAUUCUUGGAUUUAUUGAAGACUAACUACUGCGAAAGCAUUUGCCAAGGAUGUUUUCAUUAAUCAAGAACGAAAGUUAGGGGAUCGAAGACGAUCAGAUACCGUCGUAGUCUUAACCAUAAACUAUGCCGACUAGGGAUCGGAUGAUGUUAAUUUUUUAAUGACUCAUUCGGCGCCUUACGGGAAAC
RNAcentral lists this ribosomal RNA (549 nucleotides) under uncultured Glomus. Its description in RNAcentral is "SSU rRNA". It matches the Rfam family "Eukaryotic small subunit ribosomal RNA", at positions 548 to 1098 of the family's 1831-position model. Lineage: Eukaryota; Fungi; Glomeromycota; Glomeromycetes; Glomerales; Glomeraceae. The record is from RNAcentral.